AACGAGGCCGACCUGCGGCUGAGUUACCUGCGGAGGGAUCAUUACUGAAUGGUCUCCACGACCUUUGACCCAUAAAGCCUGUGGCAAAAUCAUGUGCUUUGGCGCCCCUCGGGGCGCCAUGACCAUGCGUGUAUAUGCCCUUGUUGUCUGAAGUAUGGUAACAAGCAAAACUUUUAACAACGGAUCU
This 187-nucleotide unclassified non-coding RNA is filed under the name soil metagenome. RNAcentral describes it as "partial contains 5.8S ribosomal RNA, internal transcribed spacer 2, and large subunit ribosomal RNA". The record is from RNAcentral.